AGUAGAAUGAUGUAUAAAAAAUUGACCUGCGAAUGUUAAGACAUGAACAAGAAUUCCAAAUGUUAGUUGAAAAAAGAAGGAUAGAAGCCAAAAUGUUGUAAUAGUCAAACUGAUACCAAUACCACGAACAGCUGAUGGUAACACCUAAACAAACUACAGUGUUUUGAUAACAUACAGAAAAUUUUUUUUACUUCACUAGCGACAACAAACAUUAAACCAGCCCAUGAUAUAUUCCAAGAAAAAAUAAAUAUAUAAAAAUUAAUAAUAAGACUUGUAAUAAGUAUUUUUUGAGAGCCAAUUUUAUCCAAAAGAUAAAAUAAUAUCUAAAGGGUAUUUUACCGAAAACACAACAUGCCCAAUACAUGUGACAAUUGACCCCCACAACAAAAUCGGACGUCGACCUAUUUUAUCCACUAGGAAAAUCGCUGACAAUAUACCGCAAAACUAAAAAAUCACAUGAAAGAAUUUUGAAAAUAAUUGAGUUUUUUUUCUUAAUAAAUUGAAAAAAAUAUACUUUUGAGAGUCCAACGCCAAAGGAAAAAAGACGAAUAUCACUCACAAAAGAUUUCUUUUUCAGUAUUGGAACAGUAUAGUAAAUUAAAUUAUUACCAAACAUAAAAUUUUGAGCACAAGCACACCCAAUAGCAAUGAAAAGUUGUUUGCGAUAAAGGCGUAAAAACCUCAAGUAAUUUGUGAAUCCUUGACAUUGUUUUUGAAUCC
This is a long non-coding RNA of Hylaeus volcanicus, 720 nucleotides long. RefSeq lists it as uncharacterized. NCBI's taxonomy places the organism in Eukaryota, Metazoa, Arthropoda, Insecta, Hymenoptera, Colletidae. The record is from RefSeq and is a predicted model, not a curated record. The transcript has 2 exons.